GUGCUCAUAUCGGCAGCAUAUAUACUGAAAUUGGAACCACACAGCGAAGACUAGCACGGCCCCUGCACAAGGGCAACAUGCAAAUUUGUGACGCAUUCCCUAUUUUU
Molecule: small nuclear RNA, 107 nt
Filed under: Catagonus wagneri (Chacoan peccary)
Lineage: Eukaryota; Metazoa; Chordata; Mammalia; Artiodactyla; Tayassuidae
Source: RNAcentral